Molecule: ribosomal RNA, 278 nt
Filed under: uncultured prokaryote
Description: partial 16S ribosomal RNA
Rfam family: Bacterial small subunit ribosomal RNA
Source: RNAcentral
UACGGAGGGUGCAAGCGUUAAUCGGAAUUACUGGGCGUAAAGCGCGCGUAGGUGGUUUGGUAAGCGAGAUGUGAAAGCCCCGGGCUUAACCUGGGAACGGCAUUUCGAACUGCCAGACUAGAGUGUGGUAGAGGGUAGUGGAAUUUCCUGUGUAGCGGUGAAAUGCGUAGAUAUAGGAAGGAACACCAGUGGCGAAGGCGGCUACCUGGACCAACACUGACACUGAGGUGCGAAAGCGUGGGGAGCAAACAGGAUUAGAUACCCCGGUAGUCCCUGAG